Molecule: ribosomal RNA, 301 nt
Filed under: uncultured bacterium
Lineage: Bacteria
Description: partial 16S ribosomal RNA
Rfam family: Bacterial small subunit ribosomal RNA
Source: RNAcentral
CAGCAGCCGCGGUAACACGGAGGGUGCAAGCGUUAAUCGGAAUUACUGGGCGUAAAGCGCACGCAGGCGGUUUGUUAAGUCAGAUGUGAAAUCCCCGCGCUUAACGUGGGAACUGCAUUUGAAACUGGCAAGCUAGAGUCUUGUAGAGGGGGGUAGAAUUCCAGGUGUAGCGGUGAAAUGCGUAGAGAUCUGGAGGAAUACCGGUGGCGAAGGCGGCCCCCUGGACAAAGACUGACGCUCAGGUGCGAAAGCGUGGGGAGCAAACAGGAUUAGAGACCCGCGUAGUCCCUGUCUCUUAUAC